GAUAUUUCGCGAUAAAUUGCUCAACACUUCUGCACAUACCGGACUUUCGAUAACGAACGGCACCUGCAAACAAUUCGAGACAAACCCGACGGCGCGCGAGGAACCGUUACGUUACUUGUAUCGUUAACGUUUGGACUGAUUGGAAACAAUCGACACUAAAGCCGAUGAUAUAUUUCAACUCACUCUACACUGGCGUCCUCCAAGAUCGAAUCCGGUGGCACAAAUAAUAGCAAAUUCUCGACUUGGGGAAACGAUGGCGAUGGCCGUACCGGCGGAAAGGCCAAGCCAGCCCAUGAAGCUUAAACCCGCGAGUCCCCCGACCAGAGCGCCCUGUCGCGAGUUUAAU
Dinoponera quadriceps is the source of this 346-nucleotide long non-coding RNA. RefSeq lists it as uncharacterized. The record is from RefSeq and is a predicted model, not a curated record. NCBI's taxonomy places the organism in Eukaryota, Metazoa, Arthropoda, Insecta, Hymenoptera, Formicidae. The transcript has 3 exons.